This 105-nucleotide ribosomal RNA is filed under the name Danio rerio (zebrafish). Lineage: Eukaryota; Metazoa; Chordata; Actinopteri; Cypriniformes; Danionidae. The record is from RNAcentral.
GCUGGCAGCUAGCUCUCUGCAACUCUCCCACUGAAGCUAAGCAGGGCUGCGCCCGGUCAGUACCUGGAUGGGAGACCACAUGGGAAAGCUAAGUUGCUGCCGGAA